Molecule: ribosomal RNA, 1454 nt
Filed under: uncultured prokaryote
Description: partial 16S ribosomal RNA
Rfam family: Bacterial small subunit ribosomal RNA
Source: RNAcentral
UCAGAUUGAACGCUGGCGGUAUGCUUAACACAUGCAAGUCGAACGGUAACAUGAUUAGCUUGCUAAUUGAUGACGAGUGGCGGACGGGUGAGUAACGCGUAGGAAUUUACCUUUCGGGGGGGGAUAGCCCGGUGAAAACCGGAUUAAUACCGCAUAAGCCCUACGGGGGAAACGAGGCCACUUCUCUUGCUAUUAGAUGAGCCUGCGUCGGAUUAGCUAGUUGGUGGGGUAAAGGCCUACCAAGGCGACGAUCCGUAGCUGGUCUGAGAGGAUGAUCAGCCACACUGGGACUGAGACACGGUCCAGACUCCUACGGGAGGCAGCAGUGGGGAAUAUUGGACAAUGGGCGCAAGCCUGAUCCAGCAAUACCGCGUGUGUGAAGAAGGCUUUCGGGUCGUAAAGCACUUUCAGUAGGGAGGAAAGGAUGAUGGUUAAUAGCCAUUAUCUGUGACGUUACUCGCAGAAGAAGCACCGGCUCCCUCCGUAUUACCGCGGCUGCUGGCACGGAGGGUGCGAGCGUUAAUCGGAAUUACUGGGCGUAAAGCGCGCGUAGGCGGCCUGAUAAGUUGGAUGUGAAAGCCCUGGGCUCAACCUAGGAACUGCAUUCAAAACUGUCAGGCUAGAGUAUGGUAGAGGAUAGUGGAAUUUCCGGUGUAGCGGUGAAAUGCGUAGAGAUCGGAAGGAACAUCAGUGGCGAAGGCGGCUAUCUGGACCAAUACUGACGCUGAGGUGCGAAAGCGUGGGGAGCAAACAGGAUUAGAUACCCUGGUAGUCCACGCCGUAAACGAUGUCAACUAGCCGUUGGGGGGCUUGUCCCCUUAGUGGCGCAGCUAACGCGAUAAGUUGACCGCCUGGGGAGUACGGCCGCAAGGUUAAAACUCAAAUGAAUUGACGGGGGCCCGCACAUGCUCCACCGCUUGUGCUUUAAUUCGAAGCAACGCGAAGAACCUUAUCCGCUCUUGACAUCCAGAGAAUUUGCUAGAGAUAGCUUAGUGCCUUCGGGAACUCUGAGACAGGUGCUGCAUGGCUGUCGUCAGCUCGUGUUGUGAAAUGUUGGGUUAAGUCCCGUAACGAGCGCAACCCUUGUCCUUAUUUGCCAGCACGUAAUGGUGGGAACUCUAAGGAGACUGCCGGUGACAAACCGGAGGAAGGUGGGGACGACGUCAAGUCAUCAUGGCCCUUACGAGCGGGGCUACACACGUGCUACAAUGGCCAGGACAAACGGUUGCAACCCCGCGAGGGCAAGCUAAUCUGAGAAACCUGGUCGUAGUCCGGAUCGCAGUCUGCAACUCGACUGCGUGAAGUCGGAAUCGCUAGUAAUCGUGAAUCAGAAUGUAACGGUGAAUAAGUUCAAGGGACUUGCACACACCGCCCGUCACACCAUGGGAGUGGAUUGCACCAGAAGUAGCUAGCUUAACCUUAGAGGGCGAACACCCAUCUGGGUGAUACGUUUG